AGUGAACGCUGGCGGUAGGCCUAACACAUGCAAGUCGAACGGCAGCACAGUAAGAGCUUGCUCUUACGGGUGGCGAGUGGCGGACGGGUGAGGAAUACAUCGGAAUCUACUUUUUCGUGGGGGAUAACGUAGGUAAACUUACUCUAAUACCGCAUACGACCUACGGGUGAAAGCAGGGGAUCUUCGGACCUUGCGCGAUUGAAUGAGCCGAUGUCGGAUUAGCUAGUUGGCGGGGUAAAGGCCCACCAAGGCGACGAUCCGUAGCUGGUCUGAGAGGAUGAUCGGCCACACUGGAACUGAGACACGGUCCAGACUCCUACGGGAGGCAGCAGUGGGGAAUAUUGGACAAUGGGCGCAAGCCUGAUCCAGCCAUACCGCGUGGGUGAAGAAGGCCUUCGGGUUGUAAAGCCCUUUUGUUGGGAAAGAAAAGCAGCAGGUUAAUACCCCGCUGUUCUGACGGUACCCAAAGAAUAAGCACCGGCUAACUUCGUG
This 492-nucleotide ribosomal RNA is filed under the name uncultured bacterium. RNAcentral describes it as "partial 16S ribosomal RNA". It matches the Rfam family "Bacterial small subunit ribosomal RNA", at positions 29 to 507 of the family's 1533-position model. The record is from RNAcentral.